GCUUACGACCACACCGGCCUGAGUACGCCUGAUCUCGUCUGAUCUAGGAAGCUAAGCAGGGUCGGGCCUGGUUAGUACUUGGAUGGGAGACCUCCUGGGAAUACCAGGUGCUGUAAGCU
Molecule: ribosomal RNA, 119 nt
Filed under: Oncorhynchus kisutch (coho salmon)
Lineage: Eukaryota; Metazoa; Chordata; Actinopteri; Salmoniformes; Salmonidae
Source: RNAcentral